AUUUCGGGGUGCAGGAGACGGGGAACCCCCAACGUGCCGUCACACAGGGGUAACAUGGACUUAUGAGGAAAAUGGUAUUUUCUGUUGUCUUCUGUUCCUUUCUUAAUGAUUCCAAACAUUUGGUUUGCCUUUUUUAAGUGCCACUGCUUAGUCAGUGAAUAUUUUCAGAGAACCAUCCACAGUGAUCAUCCACAUUGCUCAAGACACCUCUCUUGACCAAUAACAGCUAAUGUAGACCCCAUCAUUUCAUAUCUAUUCCCUUGUAUUUAUCACCAUUGAAUUUCAUUUGCCAUUUCAUUGUCCAGUCACCCAGUUUCACGAGAUCCUGGUGUAGCUCUUCUCAGUCUGCUUGGGACAUGAAUAGUUUUGUCAUCUGCAAAUUUUGCCACCUUAUUGUUUACCCCCUUUUCCAUAUCAUUGUUGAAUAUGAUCGGUCCCAGUAAAGAUCCCUGAGGGACACUACUUGUUACUUCUCUCUCCAUUCUGAAUAUUGACCAUUUAUUCUUAACCUUUGAUUCCUGUCUUUUAACCAGUUACCAAUCAAUGAGAGGACCUUUCCUCUUCUCUGACAGCUUACUUUGCUUAAGAAUCUUUGAGACCUUUCUGAAAAUCUAAGUACACUAUAUUCACUGAAUUCCCCUUGUCCUCAUGCUUGUUGAUCACUCAAAACAAUUCUAGUAGAUUGGUGACACACAAUUUCCCUCUACAGAAACCAUGUUAACUCCUCUGCAAUGAAUUAUGUUCCUCUGUGUCUGUGUCUGACCAUUUUUUUUUUCCUUUUACUAUAGUUUCAACUGGAUUUCCUGAGACUGAAAUCAGGGUAACCAGCAUGUAAUUGCCAGGAUCACCUCUGAAGCCCUUUUUAAAUAUGGGGGGGGGGGAGGGCUGGCAGAACUAGGACUGGAAGUUGACUCAUUCCCAACCCACUCUGUUCAUUCAUGGUUUAAGACUUGUCACAGAAACCAGUGGCACUCAGCCUUUCCAGAAUAGUGUAUCCCUUUCAAGAGUCUGAUUUCUCUUGUGUACCCCCCAGGUUUCACCUCACUUAAAAACUACUUGCUUACAAAAUCAGACACAGACAUGCUAAAGUAUCACAGCACGCUAUUACUGAAAAACCGUUACUUUCUCAUUUUUACUAUACAGCUAAAAAUAAGUCAAUUAGUACAAUAUUUAUAUUCUUACAUUUCAGUGUAUAGUAUAUAGAGUCAUAUAAACAAGUCAUUUGUAUGAAAUCUUAGUUUGUACUGCCUUUACUUUAUAUCUAGACUUCAGUAAAAUUAGGCAAAUAUCUAGAUGUCUCCCUGGCCUGGAAGACAGCUAUGGACCCCAGGGGGAGGUGUACCCCAGUUGAGAACCUCUGAUGUAAGUCACUAUUUAAAAAUACUGCUGCAAACUUAAAUUAAAAUCUAAAAUUAGACUAUAAGCCUGGACACAAAGCACAAUACCUUAUUUAGUUUAAGGUUUCGUUCUUUUAACUUAGAUUGGAAACAAUUGAACAUGGCAACAUUUUCAGCCUCAGCAACUCCUACUCUCUUCUUGAGCAAGCUAUGCCCACCUUCAGGCCAUACUUUUUUAAUGAUGAUGAGGUCAUAAAUAUUAGAGAUGGGUCCAAAGUAAAAUCCUGCAUCCAAACAAUGUUUGAGGAAAUGUGGGUCUUGUACCAAACAUAAUGACUAGUACAUCUCUGGACAGAACUUAAAAUCCAUAUCCAGAUAUCCUUAAACUUUGAGAAAAUAUGGAUCUUUGCUGUUCUUCUGGUUUUUUCCAUAACUGAGAGAUGAACUGGUUGUAAGGUGUAGUACUCUCCAUUUGAGACUGUGCUGUGUUCUUUAGCUUGAUUGUCCUUUUUUCUUCUUGAUUACAUCUUUGGUGUAUGUCUGUGGCGCCAGAAGCCAUAUUAAAAUGGACUGUGAUCUUCGAAGCAACUUCUUAUUGGAGAAGUGCAUGCUUAUAAAAUGUGAGGGGAAGAGAGUAAAUGGAAAAAUUGUGCCCAGAGAGUAAGAGAUGGAGAUCAAGUAUUUCUGCACAUGUGGAUUAGUAGUUGGUCUUGUUUAUCAAAAUCUGGUCUAAAUAAAUAGUAACUCUUUUUAAAUAAGAGUUUCUAGAGCAGCAGCUCAGUAGUAACAGUGGCUUUACCACAUUGAUACCUGAAAUUUUGCAGCAUGGAGAAACAGUAUUGAAUGAUCUUGCCAACACACUGCUGCCAAGAGAGAGACAAUAUGGAAUGUUUUAUAAGACCUUUCAUAAAUGACAAAUCUAGCAAAGGAUACAUUCUUCCUCUCUGCUUUCACAUGAAUGUGCUCUUUAAUAGUUCAUUUACUUCAUUCUUCAACAAUUUUAUGCCUUAUGCCCACCAUAAGUCUUCCCAAAUACUUAGUUAAGUUCUCAGACUACAGUCCCAAGUUUAUCCUGGCUUUGAGGACCUAUAGGAGUCUUUCCUUGAUGUGGGAAACUAAACACACACACUGUUAAUGUUUUAACCAGUUGUAGAUUAUGUAUCGUUAUGCUGUCCAAAAUGAACAUUUGGUCUUUGCUACAUCUACUUUAUCAAUUUAACAAGAAAGGUCGUGUGGCAAGAGGGAGAGUGGAAGAACAGUGAAAAAGAGUGUCUGCUUUUCUCAGUUGCCGCACCCUUUGCUAUUCGGUGCUGUGAUUUAGUGACUGCCAGAUGAUGACAUUGGAAGAUUUUUCCAAGAACCCUUGAGCAGUGCUAGAUUGUUUACCCAGACUAAUGCUGACAAAAAUCAGUAGCAAGAAAUGAAGCUCAGUUCCCAGUCUUUACCAGCCAUUAUCUACAUGUUCUUUUGAUUAGACUGGUAAUGGCUCAUAAUGCCAUUGACCUACAUUCAGUUUAGUUUAGAGAACAGAUAUUGUAUAUAAGAGGCUGGCAUACCCACCAAAGUACUAAUGUAUUGUAAAGAGUAUUUCCAACUAGCUGAAUGCAUUUAAAAAUGCAAUAAAAAUUACUGACAAGUUGUGCUCACCUUAUUUGGCUUUAGCAAUCUCAUGACUAUUCAUUCUAAAUUCCAGUCUUUUGUCCAGACCUACUAGAAUUCUCACCCACGAGACAUCAAUGUUUGUUGAUACAGCAACUUGCUUUAAUUUAAAAAGAGCCAAAUCUUUUUCAUUUUAGCUCAUUAUCCUCCAUUUAUUUUCCUACUUCAAGAUGUAUUUUGUACGGUACUUUGGUAUUUGCAGAAAUUAUUUAGUUAAAUAUACUUUUUAUUGCAAGUCACUUUGCUGUGACAAACAGCACAGAGUUUGGUUUGUAUGCAGAAUCCAGUUUCUAUUAGCCUUUAGAUUGUAGCUUCAGCAGGGGCGAAAGGAUAGCAUAAUUACUUUAGAAAUUCAGUUGAUAAAAUCAGGGGCUUAGAGCUUGCUGUGGGUUACAGAAGAGCUUCUAUUCUAAACCCCUCUUCACUCACCUAACUUCCCAAUAUAUUCUCCUUUUUUAGUUCAAUUUUUCUAAGCCCAAAUAAAUCCCUUUAGUAGUUUUUGAGUUAAGGGAGAGAUGGAAAAAACUCUUUUCCAUUUAAAAAAACAUCCAACCAUGCUUUUAUUUUUGUUGCAUAGAGUUAUAGUGAAAACAGAUGACAUUUGAAACUUGGCACUGGAAAAAUCUUCUCUCCAUUCUCCACAGGCAGACAGACACUCCCUCUGCACACCUCUUUCCAACCGUGGCUUACUAAGGAAUUUCCUCCCCUCUGAUCCUCCAGGUACUGUCAUAUUGCAACCUGGGUCCUUGACAGCUCUUUAAAUAGCUCCCUCCUGGCUUUUGCUUUUUGCCGGAGCUGCGCACUGGGGCAGGCCCUUGGAUCCUAAAGCAGCCAAAAGCCAGCCUAAAGACCAGGAAGGACAGAGCAGCUGACGAGGGACAUCCUAAGACAGGAACCAACAGGAGCACUGUGCCAGGAAUGUAUCCCCUGGGAAGGACAAACUGGAGCCGGACUCAAAUCAGUCAUCCAGAAUGGAGAUUCACAGCAGAGUUCCUUUUCUCACUAGCAUUGCAGCUGUCACAAGCCCAGCAGAAUCACAAGACAGUCAGCAAUUUUACAGAUUAUGAAAUAAGUGAAUAUUGUCAUCUAUGGUUGAUUUUUUUGUUUCCAUAUUACAUGGCCCAGCAGCAUUACAUAAUAAACCUCACUUUUCCCAGAGCAGGAUUUCUUAACAGAUUUGCAAACUUGUAUUUCUUCCCUUUUCACAUAGGCAACAUUAUUUAAAAUAUAAAACAGCUGAAAGAAACAGGUUGAAGCCAGACGACAAAUGUGUAAAUAUAACUUGGUAUUACCCAGCAUAGUGAUGUGGGUCAGUCAUGAGUUGCAUUAUGAACAUUCACCACUAUGAGUGAGAGAAGCUGUGAAUUUAAGAAGCAGAUUUGACAACUAGUGUAGUCAGGUGUUGAACUAACCAUUUUCACUACUGCAAGCAGGAGAAGCUGUGAAUAUGAGCUUCUUCUGUCAUAGUCUGCCUUUGGAAACACUUGUAUAACUUUGAUUGCUGCACAUACUCUAAUGGUAGGGUGGCCUGCCAGUUUAAGGGCCAGAAGCCCGAGGCUAGCCAGCCCUGUCUGAUCACAUCCUUGUCUGCUAAUUAACUAUAUGAUAAUCAGCAAAGACAGCAUUGACUGGGUGCAGGUAACAGCCUGAGAUAUGUGGACUUCAUAAAGAUCAGAGAACUCGGUUUGGAGAAAGGGAACCACAGGGAAUAAGUUUGGUUCUGGAGGCAGUCUCUGAAGUAAGGUCUAGCACAGAGGUAGGCAAUCAUUUUUGAUGGGGGAUGGGCUACUCCAAGAAUUUGGUAAGUGGUUGAGGGCCGCAUUCUUCCACCAUAUUAAUGGAGGAGGUGCGGGGUUUGGGAUGAAGGUUGAGUGCAGAAGGGUGCCUGUAGUAAGAAUUGGUGUGCAGGAGGGGGUGUAGAAUCUGGGAGCGUGUGGGUGUGAAGGAGGGGGUUGUGAUCUGGGGCGAGGGUUUGGGUUGUGACCUCAGGCAAGGGAUUGGGGUGCAGGGCCUGAGAGGAGAGAUGGGUGCAAGAGGGCGGGGCAGAGUGUUUGGAUAUUGUGGGGUUGGGGGGGCAGAAGUUAAGGGGGAGGGAAUGUUGGAGUGCCAGAAGCAGGCUCUGGCCGGGAGAUGCUUAUCUGGGUGACUCCUCAUCAUCAGCCCACCAGGUUCCUUGUCUUCCAUUCCCUGGCAGGUCACUCAGAGCAGCUGGCUGUGGGGCCAUGUGUGUCUGUGAACAGACUCACAUGUGAACAGACUUCUCAGCUGCGAGACUGAGAAGAGGAGGGAGGGAUACUUAGAAUGCUGCCUGUUCUUCAAACAGCAGCUCCCAUUGGCCAAAAGAAGCUGCAAAUUGUGCUAGGAGUGGAGACAAAAUCUCCCAGAUUGUGCUGGGGGAGAGGAGCAGCCACCCCAGGCUCACAGCUGUUCACAGACAAAAAGAGCCCUGCAGCUGACUUUUCUGGGAGGUGUGUGGGGGUGGGGCAGGCAGGCAGGCAGGGAGCCUGACUGAGGCUCCCACUGUGCCCCAUGUGCUGGAUCCAACAACUUAGUGGGCCAAUUCAGCCUGUGGGCCGGAUUUUGCCUGGCCCUGAUCUAGUAGAAGUUGAUGACUCCAGUGAUGCAGCCUGGGAGUAAGACCCUGAGAAAGCAAGGGAGGACCUUGAUAGUAGCAGAGGGAGGUGUGUAACUGACUUCUUUGAGUCAGAGAGUUGGACAAGGAAGGCAGAGAUCUGUGGAAGGAUUCUAGCUAAAAAAGAGCUGGGAGUCCUUUAUGUUGGGACUUAAGGUUGAGGAUUGUUUUGUUAACAAAGACAGAUUCCAUGUAGGGGAGAGGAAUGAGUGGACAGAGAGAGACUGUUGAUUACUUUUGGGAACUUAGUGAGAGGAAAUUGAGUUGGAAAGUGCUGGGCCAGCAGGAUGUGCUAUGGAUGAGUCACCCCCUUAUGACACAGAGGCCUCAGACUGAUUCUUCUCACACACACAUGCAGUCAUCUUCUCAAAGAAUAGAAUCUGACCCUUUGCCUUUAGUGGCUUAGGUGUUAUGAUGAUCUAAAAGAAAAAAGCCUGACAGAUACCUAAUGGGCAUGUACGCCCAUUUCACUAUUCAGUUCCUCUACCUAGCACUCCAAAGAUCAUUUAUCCAGGCCGAGAUAGUACAGGCUAGAAGGAUGACUGCUUGCCUUUUCAGUCAGAGGGCCCAAUGUGGGUGGGCUCCCAUCUGCCUUCUUUGUUUCUUAUAAGGUAGUUUGACCUGUAUAUAGUGUGUUGGUGGCUAACUCUUGGACACGAGUGCUAGGCUGUAUGUUAUGCAGGCUGAACCUCUCUAGUCCAGCAGUCUGGUCCAGCAACAUUGGGGUCCGGCAUGAUUUAGUUAGCUGGAUGUCUGCUCAUCAUGGGCGUGGCCAAAUUUCCCAUGGCCCCAUAAAAGUUGGUUUACAGCCACCAGUCCUGGCUUUCAGUGUUCUGUGCUGUUACCUAGCUCUAAUUUAUCUCUAAAUGUCUUCUAAGAGCCCAGUAAGCAGUGGCAAUGUUAGUAAUGCUGCUAGAGAAUAUUGACCUCUUGUGGUUUGGUAAAUGCUCUGGUUUGACACCAGUCAGGUCCUGAGGGUGUCAGAGUAGAGAAGUUCAACCUGCAUUUACAUUGAUGAGCUGACGCUUAGUAUAAGAAUCCCCUUUGCUUUCUUCUCUGCCCUCCAACUAUAAAGAAAAGUAGGAAACAGAGGCAUUAGACUUAAAUGCACAAUUGACAUAUAGCUUCUGCAAAGAGCUGGUAACUAUCAUUCAUGCUGCUUCUAAUGCCAGCUUGCUGAACAUAGUGAUCCAUGUGCAACAUUGAGCAGUAGUCUAGUCUUUAUCCUGCUUUUGAAGUGGUUUACCAUGAGUGGAAGGACAUUCACAUGUAAAGAUACAACACUGUGAUACACAAAA
Molecule: non-coding RNA, 6926 nt
Organism: Pelodiscus sinensis (Chinese soft-shelled turtle)
Lineage: Eukaryota; Metazoa; Chordata; Testudines; Trionychidae
Source: RefSeq, a predicted model, not a curated record